RNAcentral lists this long non-coding RNA (544 nucleotides) under Cairina moschata (Muscovy duck). RNAcentral describes it as "domestica (muscovy Duck (domestic type)) lncRNA (ENSCMMG00000010335.1)". The record is from RNAcentral. Lineage: Eukaryota; Metazoa; Chordata; Aves; Anseriformes; Anatidae.
CUGGGAACAAUCUUAGUAAAUUACUGUCAGAGGGAUAAGAAAACAGAUUUCCAGUACCCACUUAUCCAUCAUUUUUGUAUUUCAGUCUUAGAAUCUCUCUUAUGUCCAUGCUGAAUAGUCACACUCCAGAUACUGAAGAAACCAAUACUUCACAAGCUGAGAAAACCCUGUUGUUUCAGGUGACAUCAAGAUAAUACAAUUAAACAUUAGUCAGAGAAAAUACCGUGGGAUAGAAGUUAGUGGGAGUUUUGCCUGAGCAAGGAGUGAAUAAAAAAGGAGAAAAGCUCUCAGAACAUUUUCCAGGAAAGCAGAAGAGAAAAACUUUAAAGUCUCUGGAUAUUCCUGCCAUAUAUUAUACAAAUAAAACUCAAGUCCCAGAUCUCCCUCAGAAUUCCACUCCUGAGGCAGACAGCUGCACAGUACUUCUUCCAUACAAUGUAGGUCAGUAGAAGAGGAAAACAGGUCAUUCCAAAGCUGAAACAUGCUAAUAGGGGAUACUCAGUGGUUAGUGUUCUGUCUUGCAAGAAGGACAUAAUUUGAAUAU